Molecule: long non-coding RNA, 753 nt
Filed under: Sinocyclocheilus anshuiensis
Lineage: Eukaryota; Metazoa; Chordata; Actinopteri; Cypriniformes; Cyprinidae
Description: lncRNA (ENSSANG00000016701.1)
Source: RNAcentral
AAAAAGCGUUGGCAAAAGUUUGACCAAGUCAGUGACAAAGCGUUAAAUGUAGUCAAAGUUACUUGUAUUCAAGAAACAGAACAAUUACCCUCAGAAAAUUGUGACGUUUUGGUGGGUGAUACAAAUAAGUCUUGUCCAUUUGUGCCUGGGAAGGAAACUACAAUCAAUGCAUCUGAAAAUACUCAAGACAACUGUCAAAAAAAUGACAUCCCAACAGAAUGCAAACGUAUUAGAAAACCUAGCAAAAGACUCAUAGAAUGGACAGAGGAAUACGAUCAAUUGUUUUCCACUAAGAAGAAAGCAAAAAAGAAACCUGAGUCCUUUACUAAGGUUGAAAACAAUAACUGCAGUGGCCCAGUGGAGAAAACAUCUGGCGAAAGUAUACAGAAACCUCAGGUGACAGAACAAGGUGUGUCAAGGCCCCUGCCAGAAUUACAGACUCCUCCUCCAGAAGACCUGUCUCGGAGCACUCCUUCAAUAAAUCCCACGCCAUGUCAAGAGAGGCAGGUGUUGUCUGUAGACACUCUUACUCCACCUCCAGAAACAAUCCCAUCACCGUGUGCUGAAAUUUGUCAUAAGGAGGAGCUUCAAAAACAAAAUGCUAUAGCCACUGGUGAUGGUGUGUGUCUAAGCACAAAGAGACAACGGAAACCCACCAAAAAGAUUCUGGAAAGCUCCAUAGAAGCUGAACCAAUUCUUGUGCCAAAAAGAAAGGUACUUGUUUAAACUAUAACUAUUUUAGAAAGUUUACUU